AUACGAUAAAUAUUUGUAUGUACACAAUUUUUUGUUGCAGUCUACGAGCGUAUCGCAAGAUUGAUAGUGACCGCGUGUUGUUGCCGUUGGCUGUGUGCAGUGCCGUGCACAUCCAGUUCCAUUUCGGUCACCGAAUGAAUCGCGCGUGUUCAUUCCGAUAAAUUCUGUCUCUUCAGAUUAUAAUUAAGUGAAUUUAUAUUCAUUAAACAUUCGCGGACAUAUCUGACAUAUCGAUCGUGAGCUGCGGCGUGGUGCAUUAUCGCAUUUCUUGUGAUUUUAAGUCCGUACUUGAAUUAGAAACGGUCAACAAAGAAAAGAUUUAGAAUUACCAGACAAGUGCGGCGUAUAGUUAUUGAGAUAUCGUUUAACGUUUUAACGAGACCUUACGGAUAUCUUGGACCAGGUGUGCAUUCCAUGUUUCUUCCAGAAGGAUUCAAUAGAAAAUGGUAAUUUCCGGUAAAGCAAGAAACAUCUUCAUCGAUUUCAAUGAUUCUAUCAAAUUUUGACUGGCCAAGAGAUUUACCUUUUUUACUGGGGAAUUCCAUGGAUUUGGACACAGCAUCAACAUCUUACAUUUUGUGAUACACAGAGCCCAGAAGACUGGGUGAAGAAGAAGAAUGAACACUUUCAAGCGUCCAUAAUUUUUUCUGCUUUUAAUAUAAUUGGACAAAAAAAAACAGGGCAAAGCUUGGGUUUCAAAUUGAAUUUGGCUAAAAAAGAGAGUGCAGAACUAAUGUUAUAAACUUAUUACACUUGCUAAAGGCAACACAAGACUAUUUUAUUGAGCAAAUCAGUAAAAAUAUUUUAAAUGCUCCGCCAAGGUGGUAAUUUAUAGACAAUUUGUUAAGUGAUAGUUCUCAUGUUGUGAAGCACUUGAUAAGCUGCUUGCUAUUAAUUUAGUUACAAGUCACAUUGUAUUGCUGAAGCAAUAGAAGUUUGCUACAUAUGUUAAAUGUUAUUUGUCACAUAAA
Molecule: long non-coding RNA, 971 nt
Organism: Dalotia coriaria
Lineage: Eukaryota; Metazoa; Arthropoda; Insecta; Coleoptera; Staphylinidae
Exons: 3
Source: RefSeq, a predicted model, not a curated record